Pteropus alecto (black flying fox) is the source of this 298-nucleotide long non-coding RNA. RefSeq lists it as uncharacterized. The transcript is spliced from 4 exons. The record is from RefSeq and is a predicted model, not a curated record. Lineage: Eukaryota; Metazoa; Chordata; Mammalia; Chiroptera; Pteropodidae.
CUUUCCUUGAGAAGCCGGACACGGCCCUACCCCAGUUCUGGUACCAAUUGGCCUGGCCUCCCCACUCCUCCGGCUACCCAGACAGGAGAGGAGCCGUGAGUGAGAGACUGAGGAAGGAGGCACAGUGGGAGAGCGGACGUUGUUAUGGACGGGGACGAGAACGCGCAGGCGCAACUGCAUUGCUGCCCCCCCCGAGAAACAGCCAGGUUGCUGAGGGUCCACGCUCCAGCUUGCCCCCGCUACAUCAAUUGGAGGAGAAAAGUUUGUGAAUUGGGCCCCCAACUUUUGGGGGACCCAG